GCUUAUGGGAGAUUCAAUCACCAACGGUGAAGAUUUGUUUAGUAGAGUAUUUGUUGGGUGAAUAAGGAAUUAAUGGUCACAACUAACAUUUCAAUAUCCGAGCGAUUCUCCUAGACAAUCUGUGUGCUUAAAAAAAUUGUAUGAAGUGCAAUAGAGUAGACACGUACCCAAGAUUAACUGGAAUGCAUUCCAGCAUAAGAGGUGACUAAGGAAUCAUGGUCAAGUAGGUGUCGAUCGAAACGCCAAAAAAUCUGAUAAUUUCAAGAAUGAGGAAUUUUCUCAAGUGAUCUAAAAUGUAGUCCUUCUAGACCAACAAAAAGUGGGUUGAUUUGUCAAGUCGGCUGAUAAUCACUGAAACAUCAUCCUAAUCUCUACAUGUACAAGAUACCUCGUACCGGGAGCUUAUGGUGAUAUUUCUCAUCUCUAUUCAGAUACAGGAAGUGAUUAUAACCACUCGAACAAUUUCUUGAUGAUUCGUAAUUAACGUCAAAAUGAUACUCGUGAAUUCCAACUAGAAUGGGAUACGUCAGGCUAGAGGUAUUCAAGGGUACAUAUGUCUUUUGAUGUGGCAAACA
RNAcentral lists this long non-coding RNA (575 nucleotides) under Malus domestica (apple). Its description in RNAcentral is "long non-coding RNA (MDOM_LNC003092)". The record is from RNAcentral. Lineage: Eukaryota; Viridiplantae; Streptophyta; Magnoliopsida; Rosales; Rosaceae.